This 314-nucleotide ribosomal RNA is filed under the name uncultured bacterium. RNAcentral describes it as "bacterial SSU rRNA". It matches the Rfam family "Bacterial small subunit ribosomal RNA", at positions 28 to 334 of the family's 1533-position model. The record is from RNAcentral.
GAUGAACGCCGGCGGUGUGCCUAAUACAUGCAAGUCGAGCGCGGUCCCUUUGGUGCUUGCACCAAAGACGACUGAGCGGCGGACGGGUGAGUAACGCGUGGGUAACCUGCCCUGUACAUAUGGAUAACAUGCUGAAAAGCAUACUAAUACAUAAUAACGUAUAUUGAAGGCAUCUUCGAUGUAUCAAAGCGUUAGCGGUACAGGAUGGACCCGCGUCUGAUUAGCUAGUUGGUGGGGUAAAAGCCUACCAAGGCGACGAUCAGUAGCCGACCUGAGAGGGUGAUCGGCCACAUUGGAACUGAGACACGGCCCAA